RNAcentral lists this long non-coding RNA (10632 nucleotides) under Triticum aestivum (bread wheat). RNAcentral's name for it is "long non-coding RNA (TAES_LNC017457)". Lineage: Eukaryota; Viridiplantae; Streptophyta; Magnoliopsida; Poales; Poaceae. The record is from RNAcentral.
GGGGCGUUUGAAGAGGACGGGAUGCAAAAGGGUGGAAGGAGGAUCAGUCAGGUACGCCAGGGCCAUUUAGCCUUAUAUUGUUUUUUAGGUUUUAAUUCUUUCAGAAGGUACCUUAUAUUGUUGCUUCAGUGCCUCUUCGAUUCAAAUGACUUUCGUAGGAUUUUCGGUGGAUUACAAUCCUUUGAAUUUUUCAUACGCUGGUAGUUUCAUUCGUAGUACAGUAUUGAAUCCUAUUGGGAUUUUUCCUACAUUCCAUAGAAAAUCUAUCUAGCAUCCACUCCAACUACAUUCCACAGAAAAUCUAUCCAGCAUCCAAUCCAAUCUCUUGAAAAAAAUCAUUUGUUUUUCCUGAGAUGUAAUCAUACAAACUCAAGUCCUGUAGGAUUCAAAUGGGCAUGACAUUCCAAUCAUGUGUUUUUCCUAUUUCUGCAUUUUUACAAUCCUGCAAAUCAAAGAGGCCGCAACUGUGCAGUUUAUAGAAAAUGAAGUGUACGAGUAAACCCAUAAUUCGUAAUUCAGAUGCGAGACUUGUUAUUUUUGUGAACUCGUGAAAAGUAAGUACAUUCUUAAUUGGGAUCCAGUUUAUAAGGGAAAGUGGAUCGUAAACCGCAUAAGCAACAAAGGGAAAAAAGAAGAAGAGUGAAGUGGGUGCCCAUGAUGAGGCAUAGUCCAACUGGCGCACACAGAGGUCACCACCACGAGUUACAAAUAGAUGUAGGGCGCUGUCGAAGGGUAUCACAAUACCAAGACCUUGCAAGUAUCCCCACAAUGUUAUAUAGGAGCAAGCACAAUCAACGAAUGCCAUUGAUAUGACUGCAAGUUUUGCUACAUGGGCAUGAUACUGGAUCAAUACAAGCUGUGAGACCACCAAUAGGCAUGAACCUUGACUGGAGCUCCCCCACAUGCAACAACCGGAACAACUUGCAAGGUGGGGUCGAUACCACAUAGAGAACAUGAAGCUCAAGGCAACACACUAUUCACCAUGGGAGAGAUUUGAGAUUGCACAACAAGGGAGAGUCAACUUUGAAGGCACCAUAUGAUGGAUAGGGGGAGUGGACGGAUGGUGGCACGGGUGACACCAAAGUGUACCACUGGACCACAAUUAUAGCCACCAACAUGGUAUGAGAACCCAUGACAUGGCAAGGGCAGGGCCAACAAGACGAAGCCUUCAAGAAGGGGAACAACGUCCACAAAUGAUGUCAUCAUUGAGCUUUGGCCUGGAGCACACACUGAGGAGUUGCAUCUCCAAGACCACGCCUCCCAGGAGUGUUACAAUGCUAGAAAGCACCGCCAUGGUUGCCUGAAAUGAGAUCGAGCACAGUGUUUUCCAGGAGCACACACAAUGAUUCAGACCCAAACGCACCACCAAGACACUCCAUAGCACCAAGGGGUAGCCUUGGCAGAGCAAAUCCUAGCUGCACAUCUUGAAGACCACUUCAUGGAGGUAUAUGGGUUGACGCUGUGGUGGUUGGCUCAUACAUAGGUCAACAGGGAUUUCUCUCGAAGCAUGUAUUAGAUCCAUCUUGACAUGCCGAGGAGCCAGGCCUGAAGCACUUGCAACCUUGAUUCAGGGGUUCAGGGCCACCCUGAGCCGAAGGUGGAGAGGAUGGCAGGGAUAGCUGCAACACGCCGUGGGCCUCAAAGCGGGAGGUUGAGCGGAGAGUCCGAGUGCGUCCAACCUACGUUGGACUAUGAUGAGAGAGGUCGGGGUUUGACGAGUAGGCUCCACACCCAACCCCACACCGGAGCCCAUGUGAGGCAUCAACCGCCGGAGCCAGGGCAGCGCAACUAGAUCGAUGUCGUAGGAUGGGGGCGUCCAUCCAAGGAGAGGGUGGAAGGGAGGAGAGGGGGAAAGCGGGAGCGUGGGGUGCAUCGCCGCCAUCGCCAGCCCUGGCUGCAGGUGAAAAUGACGGUGUACGUGUGCACUUUUUUGCUGGCGGCAGGGAGGCUAAUAUUCCUUCGUAUGAUCAUUUACGCUUCUUUCUACAUAGAAAAUUUAAAUUCUCCCAUAAAAGAAUUUGCCCUAAAUGUUUGAUGAUCCAAAAAGAAACCUUAGAAAAACUCAAAAGAUGUUGUUGAUACCAUGUUAUGAAUAACACUUGCAUUGAUAAAUGGGGCAUUAGGCCAUUAUCUAGUGUAGAAAGGGACACAUUAUUUGGGCCAUUUAUAUCCCUAGCGAAAGAGCUUGAGUUUGUGUUUACUAUGGCCAAGUUGAUGAUUUGGAGAAGGAAAACCUUUCAUCGAGGGUUUGGGCGAUUGGGAGAAAUAGCACAAUCCAUUUCUUUUUAGUAUAGGCGGUCGCUUAUCAUCGUGUGACCGUAUAUUAAAUCAUUGGGCAACAUCAUGAAAGAAAAGGAGAGAUGUACAAUUUGAGUCUUGUCUUUAAUCAUUUCUACAUCAACAAAACAAGCCCAUGUGGCGUAGUUAGGGACUCAACCAAACCGUUUCACGUAUAAGCCUGUAGGGGUGUUGAUUGUCCGAACAAAAGAUUCGGGAAAAAAUAUUUAUUACUGUAUAGUUUAGGGGCUUAAAUAGACCUAACCACGUUAUGAACAUAAACAUAGGUAAAAAGCAUGUUCGUAAAACAUAGAACAAGAGAAGCCCAUAAAAGGCUAAAAACUCUUAGAGCAUCUCUACCAGAUGAUGCAAAAUGGGCAGCUGCCUAAAAAACCGUUUUAUGGCAUUUGGACCCAAAAUGGUGCUCCAGCAGAUGCCCUAUCCCUAUAUCGUGCUAGAAUAUUUUUGGGGCAGCCCUUUUGUUCUCCAAAUAUACAACAGCCGCGUAGUUGCCGCAAAACAAAAACCUCAGCCGCGCUUUGCUCGACCGCCGCGUGAACCCCCCUAGUCGCUUCCUCUGCCUUGCCGACGACGAUGCCCAAUACGGCCACCACCGCCAUCGGAACAGCCGCCCCUUUUGUCGAAUCGGCCUCUGCACCACCACGUUGACCAAAUUGUCUGCCACACCACGCCAUUUGGCCGCCACUGCCGCCAGAUCCACCGCUCUCAUUCGUCUCAGCCGUCGACCACCGCCAUCGCCGAGCUGAAGAUGUUGCGCCACAACGCUAAGGCGAGGAGGAGCACGGUCUUCCACUGUGUUUGGCAUUGUAGUCCCACGGCUAUGCUGUCGAUAUCUUGUGCGAUGGGAUGCAAGUCUGGCUCAGGACCUUCAAGACAACAGAGCUCGCUACAUGCGCGUAUGAUGCCGUGGCCGCUGGCCCAAGUCAGAGCACACUUUCCUGACGUCAUGAGCGAGAGGUGGCGGAGUUCCUCGCUCCUGAAUUGGGGAUUGUGUUUCACGAGGAGAAGAUGGUUGCCUCAUCGUGGAGCAACACACCGCCCAUGAGAGCGAUGCGGUGGCUAUGGCAAGGUUCGCAGCGGAAAGUCCUUACCUUGUGCAGGUGGAAUACGAAUUCUUUGCCAGUAGGGACGUGCAACACAAGAAGGUUCUCAAGGAGGAGGAUGAGGCUGGCCCCUCACAGGUGAUCAAGCUUGAGUUGGACGAUGACAAAGCCGACGAUAUUGACUUGAGACCUCUAUCGUAGUAGUGAUGAUGAGUAGUGUAUCUAUCUUAGUACUGUUAGUUUAACUUUGAACAAUUAGAAGUUUGAAAAUGUCGAAAUAUGCAAUAAUAUUGCCCUACUACGGCAGAAAUUUUUCCGGUGACCUAUUUUACAUCGUCUGCUAUGGCAGAAUCUUUUUUGGUGCCUUAAAACCUACUCUUUAGUGCCCUAUUAUAUGUCAUCUGUUGGAGAUGCUCUUAGCAUGGCUCCACCUAGUAGUGCACAAAGCUCUAGGGGACGUACUGACGUACUAUCGACAACUCAUGCUGAUAUGCCUAACAACACAUCCACCAUGAGACUCGAUGCCAAGAACCAUCUCUUUUGUGCCAAUCAACUCAUAGCCGAUUCUUCGAACUAAUGUGUUAUAAUUGUAUUGUCCCCUGCAUUGCCUUCCAGCCAUCCCUAACCCUCGCAUGAUCUUCCAGGCGUCAUGGGCGAAACCACCUAGACUCGCCGCCAGCAGCCCUCCACGUCCCAUACCUUCUCACCGUUGUCGGAGGCACCGACAGGGCUCCUCGCAUGACGUUUUUCCAUCAGGUCCAUUGGCAGGACGACCUUUUCUCCCGACAAUGACGGCACCUCUCGGUACAGAGGUCCAUGUGACACAUCGUCGUGGUCGCGACCACCUUCUUUGCGGUGCAGUAGAUUGUUGUGGAUUAGUGGAACGAUGACUCUUCCUCGAUAGCGGAUCCCGACGAUGUGGGGGCAUGGCAUGCUCUUCUCUUGCAACAAGGCAUGCGGCACCUUAGCCAUGAAUCUUGGCCUAGGGUCUGUGGACUUGGUGGUCUCCUUCACUAGUGGUCAUGUUGGCGGCGGUGGUGGGCAUGGUAGAGUGGCUAGGUUCGAUUUGGGGAAGGAGGGAUGGGACUGUCGGUGAAAGCUAGGCUUCGCUCGGUCGAAGCCAAUGACGGUGGCGCCUGCGGAUGUCGUUCCCUUGCUUAAGGUGUCUAGAUGCAGUCCUUGACUAUUCUCUCAUAAUGCUUUAGCGGAAACCCUAGGUUCCGGUUUGCCCAGAUCGAAUGAUGGCGGUGCUCGGCGUCUGUGUUCCUCCUUCGGGGCAUUAUAUUGGAGCUUGGCCUGGUUGGCGAGUCCGUGGUUGGUUGUGAUUUCGCUGGUUGCUUGCGUGCUGGCGGGUAGCGGUGAUCAUCGCUACAUUGCGGCAUGGCGGUGGUGGUGCACGGUUGCAGUGCCGACGAUGCUAGGUUGCGGAUCAUGUUCACCGGAGUUUGUGGCGGCUUAUUGCGGCCCUGGCUGUGUAGUGACAACUAGUGUCUUGUGGGGGCCAUUAGCCAUUCCCAGAUUUACUAAUGGCAAUCACUUGCAUCGAAGGCAUGGGAUUGCUGGAGCGUCUCCUACAUGGGAUUUUCGUGGUAUCGACUCCUCUCGCUAGUUUGAUUUGCGACCAGUCUCACGUGAUGUGACAUAUUAUUGGCCUCGUACAAGAAAAGCUACCCACGAAGAAACUCAUGGAGAGGCAAAGAGAAGCCUCACAUCAAGAAAGGGGCUAGGAAUACCCGUUCGUCCGGGCAUGGCGCUGGCACGAUCUGCUCCCGCGGCGGUGCGCGCCAGUGAACUUCCAUUUGCUUCGGGAAGAACAAUAUUGGGGAAGAAGCAACAGUUGGCGAGCUUUGUCAGUUGAUCUUGUGUCGACGAUGUUGUGUCGCCGACGAAGUGACCCAUUUCCCUUUUGUGUCGUUGGCGGCACCCUUGCUAGUGGCACCCUUCUUGCUGGUAGCACCCCUAGUGGUUGCGCUGCAUCCUCUCCUUCGGCUUGCACCUCUGCGCUCAUCGGGUGUGUCUGGCUUCAACUUGUCUAAUAGAGGAAGGGGAGAAAAGCUUGAUGCGAGAAGCUUUGUUUGCAACGGCGGAGUGAGCACAUGAGCAAGAUGAAGAUGGGUGAAAGUGAGAGAAGUGUACCAUUCCAUGCUGCCGUUCCCGUUUUAUAUAGCUCAAAGGAAAUCCAAACGGCGCCCCGCAUGCCGUGACGUGUGGCCACGUUUCUCUUCAGAAACCACCCACCACUCACACACCUUGCACGGAUAUUAAGGCAUGAUGAUGACGGUGCGGGAAUCCAAGUUAGCUUUUUGUUAUCUGUGCUUAAGCUCGCUUUAAAUCGUAGGUUCAUUCAGUUAGGUGCUCAUUUUCCUCUUGAUGCAUUCAGUAAUCUAAGGCAUAACACAAUUGCAAAAUCCUCUUCAAAGCAGGUUACAUGAUUUGUAACCAUCAAAUUCUUCUGAACGGUGAAACAAAAAGAUUACAACUCACAAUCGUACUUAGCACAAUCAAGUUAUUGUACACAAUUACUUAUUCAUGAGGUUUACCCAUCAGAUUUGAGAAAAAUAGCCACCCAAUCAGCUCUGAUUCUGCAUUUCGCAGUUGGAAAAAAGGCAAGUAGCUAUAUCUGUAACAUGUACAGAUUCAUGUCUGUUGGAAUGUCAGAACUUGCUUACCUCUUCUGGAAAUUAAGUUUCUCAAUGGACAACGAAAACAAGAUUAUCAACACAAAAGGAAAGGCAACGAGGACAGCUGCUACUACGCUCAACUUAUCUUGAUGAAACCCAAAAUAGUCAUUCAAGAAGAUUGAAACUGAUUUAGUUUCUCCAAAUGCUUUCACCUCUUUUUCUAUGUUUCCGUAUUGUGAUGUCAAGAGGGCAUUGAGUGCCCAAGAUGUAGGAGUGAGAUAGUAGAGCCAAGUCCACCACUUCGGGAUUUGCUGCAACGUGAAUUGAAAAUGCAUAUUAGUGCUUUCCUCUAUUCAUGAUUCUUCCCUAACAAUUGAACAGAACAUGAUUAUUCUAUUGAGCAACGCUGGAAUAAUUAUCAAUUUCCAACCUAGAAAAUAGAAAUGGAAGUAUUAAUGAUGAAACUGAAGAUGGUAUGUCUAUAACUAUUAUGAUGUUAAACUAACAUUGGAGUGGUUCUGUGUAUCGUCAUCCAGUGAUGCCUUAUAGUUGCGGUUGGUCCUUGUAUUGUUGACAUAUUACUACUUAAAUAUUCCCAAAACUAAGAUCUAUCAGGAGGAUAGAUCAGUUGAUCGAUCACAAAAAUUAAGCAAUCAGUAAAAUUGAGGAUCUGGGGCAGAAGGAAAAAAAGGUGUCAUGGUGGGGAAGUUGCAAAGGUGAAUAUUGACAAAAAAAGAUAAAGAAAAGUUUACCAGGAUAAAAACCCUAAAACCUAAUUUGAUACCUUUGUAAGGCAGAAUGCAUUAAUAGGAUGCCUAUAAGGGUAACCUAGAUGUAGUACAAUAGGAGACUUCUGCACGAACAUGAACUCUGGAAUAAAGUAAAGCCCAUAAUGCCCUAUUAGACCUUUAUUAGUUCCAUAAUAUUAUUACAUAAUUACACUACAAAAUCUCGUCAAUUACAAUUUCUCAUGUAGGUUGUUAUUUUCUUAGUUGGUAUAUAUUCAAGGUGGGCAGCCAUAUUUUUGCUAACAAAAAGAAGUGCCAGUUACAUCUUGGAGAGCUAAAGUUUACGAUAUUGGGAGGAGAUAAAGACUUACAGGUGCAGGUAAAAUAAAUCCUGAGAAUAGUGUUUGCAUGGUGUUGAAAAAUGAAGCCAGUAUGGUAGCUACUUGAACAUUGGGGGUUAUGGAAACAAGAAGCAACCCAACAUAAACAUAGGAGAGAAUUGAACAAAAUGUGGUGUAGAAGAACCAUAGGAAUUUGUGUGCUGUCCAAUAAUAACCAGUUGACGGAUAGACAAUUAACGUAUACAGUACCACUUGGAUAAAUACAUAGGGUAUCUCAAUGAAAGCCUGUAGAAGGUGAAUAAAUAUGAGCAUCAGUGUCAAUGUAUAUUUUACUUCUCUUACAAGCUUGUGAUCAUUAUCUGACCUGUGCGAAUGAAUAUGACCAAGAUGAAUACAUUCCUGCAAAUCUCUCACGAUACAUUACAAUACGCUCAGUUGUACUGAAUGGUAUGAUUGUCUGAUCAUUAUAAGCGCCUAUGGUGGUGAAACCCAAAUACAUUGCACCAAAAACACUGAGCAUGUCCUGCUCGUUGUUUCUUAGAAGAGAUAAGAGAAAGUUAGAAUAAUUUUGCAAUGAGUCUGUGAAGUCAACUGAUGUGCAAUGUUGUGGAUAACAAAGGAGUGAACUUACAAUACUUUUGCAUGCUUCCAGAACAAUAUUCCGUAGAUCAGGGCAGAUAUGACAGUCAUCAUAAUGCGCCUCAAGUUAUACUGAGGACUCCUCCAGUAAGUUAUGUUUUGUUUCCACAAGCAAGCUUUAAGUUGAAUCCAGCCAUUCUGUGCAAAACUAUGGGAGAAACAUAGAUUUUCUGAAUUUGGUAAUGGGAUACUUAGCUGCUCCACUAGAUCUUCAGCUUCUCUGCAGAAAAGUAACUUUAAUUCUUCCAAACUUCAAAUGGAGGUAUUUUGUUUGGCUAAAUUUUUUUGCUAGAUGAAUUUUAUUUUGCUUAAGCUAUUCAUAUAUGUUGCCUUUUGCUCGAUAUCCUAACUAAAUCCACAAGAUAUGUACCUAUGCAGUGACGACUCUUCAUACAAAAUUGCAAAGUCCAUAUUGUGUUGAACCUCCAUUGAUGUCGAUGUUACAUCCAUCAUCCAAGUAGCUGGAUUGCAGUUACUCUUUAUUUUUGGGACUCCAGAAAUUUUCUAUCAAGUGGACAAGAAAAAUUCAAUCUAUUAGAACCAAAGGACACAUGUCACAAAUAUGGCAGUGCCAUGCCACAACCGUGCUUCCUCUCUGAAAACACCGAAACACAUACAUAGAUAUGCAAACAAAGUUCUUCAGUAUGUUUUUAGUUUCCAUUGCCAAUCUGUACGUUUAUUGUCACAUUUGCUUUUAAGUUCAACAUGUAAAAUACAUAUGAUCACAUCAAAAUUUUGAUUAACCUAUAUAUUUCAUGUGAAUUGUUAGCCAAGUUACAUAUUGAACACAAAUGACUGCUAGAGUUGACUUAAGUGUUUUUGCUAUGGCAUGUUGAACAUUUGAGCACUGGUUUUGGGGUUCGUUCCUUUGGAACUCUCACGUUUAUUGUUCCAAUUCCAGAAAAAAACAGUGAAAACGAAUAAUCAAGAAAAAGGCAAAUACAUUUGUGGAAAUAUGUUCAAGAAACUUGCCUCAAAGUACUCGAUCACUUUGCAGGAGCGCUCUCCUAUUGGUCCACUGUAGAUUGUUUUCCCACCGCUUUUCAUUAAUAUGAGCUGCAACAAAAUUUACUACAUGCAUUAUAGGCAACUUUCGACUACAACUAGCCCUGUAAUAAAGAAAAUCUAUACCCUUUUUGUUAUUAUAAACAGAGAAGUAGCAAAUAUAAACUGUCCGUAGUCACGUCGAUUUGUGAUAAACAUAUAGUUCAGAAAACCAAAAAAUAUUCUAUUCGGUGACUUUCCAGUAUAAGCCCUCAAAAUUGUUUUAAUUUUGUAAUCAAGCCCAGAAAGUCCAAAUUUUGUGCGAUGACAAAUUUGUGUCAGUGUGGACACUUAGUUCAAAUAAGAGAUAAAAAUUAACUGACAUCGAACACAUAGAUGUUCAAAUAAUUAAGAGAUCAAAACAUGUCAUUGCAUGUUUAUACUUUAUUCUUCAUGCGGACUGAUAUAAUGGGGUUGUUUUUGUACAAAAAGUAUAUGCCAAAUAUUUAAGGUAAGAAAUGUUCUCCCGAAACAGAAAAAGGAUGCUAGAUGCUCCCUCUAUCUCAAAAUGUAAGACAUUUUUUGACACUGAUAAUGUCAAAAAACGUCUUACAUGUGUCAAAAAAUGUCUUACAUUUUGAGACAGAGGGAGUAGUAAAUAGUUGUUAAGCAUCUUACUAUAAUUUAGAUACCAAUCCUACUUAGCUCAAACCAAUGUUUAUAUCAUAGAUAUAUUAUUCAAAGGGUCAAAAAAUGUCUUACAUUUUGAGACAGGGAGUAGUAAAUAGUUGUUAAGCGUCUUACUAUAAUUUAGAUGCCAAUCCUACUUAGCUCAAAUCAAUGUUUAUUCAUAGAUAUAUUAUUCAAAGGGGUCUGAUCAGGUAUCUUCAGUAGAAAAUGCUUGAUCUAACAAACCAAAUAAUAGAAGGUUUCAGAUAAGCAAAGUUUAAGUUGAAGGGUUUUGUUGCACAUAAUUGAUCAUUUGAGGGGACAAAAGUGCAAUUUGAGGUCUAGGUUGCGCAAAGUGAAAUGGUUGACACGCUUAUAUUGCAAAUUUCCAUACUAUUAUUUCCUAUCAUUAUUAUUUACUAGAAAGGCAAACACAAAGGACAUGUUUUAAAUUUUAAAUAACUAAUAAUGUACUACUCCCUCCGUCCCAUAAUGUAAGACGUUUUUUGACACUACACUAGUGUCAAAAAACGUCUUACAUUAUGGGACGGAGGUACCUCUGUAACUUAAUAUAAGACGUUUUUGCAGGUGAACUGCAAAAACGUCUUAUAUUUAGUUACAGAGGUAGUGCAUAUUAAGAUUAGCCCUGCUCUGUUGAAGGCAAGGGCUUUAAUUAAUCCUAAUAGUUUUGAAACUAAACAUAUUGAUUUUUCCAGAAAAAAAAUUGUGUUGAUCGUGCUUGAUAUAUAUAAUAAAAAUGUAUUUGUGUUGAUUGUGUUUAAUAUACUAAUAUAUUUAGAAAGUUAAAUUACCUCAUCAAAUGCCUCAAAAAUUUCAGUGCUCGGCUGAUGGAUUGUACAGACUACUGUCCUUCCUGUUUCACAAAUAUUUUUGACUGCACGAAUAACAAUGGCUGCUGACCUUGUAUCUAAACCUGUUGUUGGUUCAUCCAUUAGUAUGAUUGAUGGGUUUGAAACAAGCUCGACUGCAAUCGUUAGCCUCUUUCUCUGCUCCAUGGACAAUCCAUUUUUCUGUGGUGACCCCACUAAGACAUCUUUUAUUUGAUCUAGUUCAACAGUUUCAAGGACUUCAGCAACAAAUUUCUACGAGAGGAACAAGAAGAAUAUUGUUAGUUUCUUAGGUAAGCCUCUUAUUUAUCCAUCUAGUGCUAUGCUUAUUAAAUUCGAUAUAUCUCUGAGACUGAUGACAUACAGAUCUUGUUUGUUCGUCGACAUGAGAAGGCAGACGAAGCCACGCAGAAUAAGUUACAGACUCUUCAACUGUAAGCUGUGGGGAAUGUAUGUCGACU